This is a non-coding RNA of Rostrohypoxylon terebratum, 94 nucleotides long. Lineage: Eukaryota; Fungi; Ascomycota; Sordariomycetes; Xylariales; Hypoxylaceae. The record is from the annotation of a GenBank genome assembly.
GGUGGUGUAGUAUAAUGGUCAGUACAACACGUUGUGGACUUGUGGACCUAUUACUGCUCCCGUGUAAAUCUGGGUUCGAUUCCCAGCACCGCCA